This 253-nucleotide ribosomal RNA is filed under the name uncultured bacterium. RNAcentral describes it as "partial 16S ribosomal RNA". It matches the Rfam family "Bacterial small subunit ribosomal RNA", at positions 524 to 776 of the family's 1533-position model. The record is from RNAcentral.
UACAGAGGUCUCAAGCGUUGUUCGGAUUCAUUGGGCGUAAAGGGUGCGUAGGUGGCGCCGUAAGUCGGGUGUGAAAUUUCGGAGCUUAACUCCGAAACUGCAUUCGAUACUGCGGUGCUUGAGGACUGGAGAGGAGACUGGAAUUCAUGGUGUAGCAGUGAAAUGCGUAGAGAUCAUGAGGAAGACCAGUGGCGAGGGCUGGUCUCUGGACAGUUCCUGACACUGAGGCACGAAGGCCAGGGGAGCAAACGGG